This 820-nucleotide long non-coding RNA is filed under the name Populus trichocarpa (black cottonwood). Its description in RNAcentral is "long non-coding RNA (PTRI_LNC001118)". Lineage: Eukaryota; Viridiplantae; Streptophyta; Magnoliopsida; Malpighiales; Salicaceae. The record is from RNAcentral.
UUCGACGUAGCAUAUCAUUGCUGUAAUUUUCUGGUACAAAACUCACACAAGGAAGGGCUUACAAUGGAGGAAGACACACACAAACUGCUGCUGUUUCUUCUUCUCUGUUACUUCCCCGGUUUCUGCUCACUUUCGACUGCUACCCACUGCCCUUCUCUCAAUAAUUUCAGCUCCAUGUAACCUACCACUUGGAAAAAAUAAUACACUUAACACACAUUCAACUCUAGCUAACAUUAAGCUAACUCUAGCCAACUAGCCUUACAGCACAGUAACAUUAACAGUUGGUCCUGUCGGAAAAAAAGAGAUGAUAUUUGUAUAGGUAUUUUGUCAAUCAAUUUCUUACAUAAACAAAAACAAUUUUUUGUGGUCUAUAAAUUGAUCCUAUUGUUUGUUUUAAUUUAACCUUUUAAUGUGCUCUAAGGAGAAAAUUCAGCGUUAACCAUUGAGGUAGUGGAUUGAGAGCAGACUCAUCACAGGUUUAGGCCAAGAGCUCUUUCACAAGCAGAAACUGUUCCCAAUCAUCUGUGCAAACCAGCCACCAUUGUUUACCACAAUUUAAUUGUAAAAUGAGACUUCAAUGCUUGUUGCAAGCUAAGGAAGAAAUGUAAUGUGGAUGUACCAUGAGUGACACAUGCUUAAAAACUGCAUAUCCUGUCGAUAAUCACCACCUGUAAGUAUAAAACGAUUACUAUUAUAAGUUGAUAAGUGUCACGACCCGAAUCCCGGAUCCAUGACCGACACAUAGGCAAGGUUCCCCUCAAAGGUUCCAUACCUAUGCGAACCCAAACUUACACACAAACUUAUCCUAACUCAAUCAGAG